CUGAGACAACUGUAUCUGUCUGGGAAUAAACUCCAAGAUUCAGAUGUGAAGCUUCUCUCUGAUCUAAAGAAUGAUCGGCAUUAUAAACUGAAGACACUAGAUCACAACUGACUCUCAGUAUUCAGACGUCAGUCCAGUUUCCUCAGGAUCAGCUGAUGGUGAAUAAGGAGCCGCUACAGAGACGUCACAGUCACACAGUCAACAGAGACUGAAGACACAGAGACACACAGAGAUCACACUGUCAUGUGUGUGACUUCACAGCAGUUUCUUGUUUGUAUCUUUUUGUGGGUCUGAUCUUUUGAAUUACAGAUGUCAUCAGAUUUCCACAGUGAUCUAAUAGAGGACUUGAACUCUCUGAUGAAUAAUGUAAAAUUCUUCUAUUUGUGACCCAUGAAAACAAGUGCUGAAAAUUGAUUUGGUAUUGAUUAGAUAUUGUGCUGCUUGAUUACAAUGUUGAUGGUGUAACAUCCAAUAUACACUGAAAGUGUUACACUGUUAUAUAGUGUAAGUAAUUUAUUAUUUAGGAAAAAGUAAGUAUUUUAAAUGUAUCCAGCAAAGAGUGAAAAAGAUGAUUUCAUCAAAAAUAUAUAUAUAUUUGGUAACACUUUAGUAUAGGGAACAUGUAUUCACUAUUAACUACGACUUUUCCCUCAAUAAACUCCUAAUUUACUGCUUA
Long non-coding RNA from Ctenopharyngodon idella (grass carp), 676 nucleotides. RefSeq lists it as uncharacterized. NCBI's taxonomy places the organism in Eukaryota, Metazoa, Chordata, Actinopteri, Cypriniformes, Xenocyprididae. The record is from RefSeq and is a predicted model, not a curated record. The transcript has 2 exons.